AGCGAACGUUAGCGGCGGGCUUAACACAUGCAAGUCGAGCGAGAAAGGGCUUCGGCCCUGAGUACAGCGGCAGACGGGUGAGUAAUACGUAGGUAACCUUCCGUUUUGUGGGGACGAACGGUACCGAAAAGAACCGCUAAUACCGCAUACGUCUCCUCGGGACCGUCGGUUCCGGGAGGGAAAGCCUCGCAAGGGGCGCAGAAUGAGGGGCCGUAUGUCGCAUCAGCUAGUUGGUGGGGUAAGUGGCCUACCAAGGCGAAGACGCGUAGCUGGUCUGAGAGGAUGAUCAGCCACACUGGGACUGAGAC
RNAcentral lists this ribosomal RNA (308 nucleotides) under uncultured bacterium. RNAcentral describes it as "bacterial SSU rRNA". It matches the Rfam family "Bacterial small subunit ribosomal RNA", at positions 29 to 325 of the family's 1533-position model. The record is from RNAcentral.